AGCUUUUGCGCUCUCCCUCGUGCCACGUUGCUUCUCAUUUUGGGCUUGGUCUCCACUUCCCAGUCCUUGAAGGAGUUCUCCAGGUCUGCCCCAUUAGCACUGCAUCUCAGAAGGAAGCUGCAGCUGCGCCGCCAAUCUCCCGGUGGUAGGUGCUUAAUAAACAUUAUGAAGUGCAUGAACAAAUGAAUAGCCCCUGAUGGACAGACAUGCUUGAGAAACACUAUUUUUCACAUUCCUAUCUACACUCAAGAUUUUACCUAUGAUAGCAGGCUGAAGAUUCCCAGGAUCUUACAUCCUAGCAGGCAAUGCCUCUGCAUCCUCAUCAGCGAAACCGGAUUGAUCUUGCCUGCUUCCCUGGCUUUGAUGGAUGCAACAGAAGAAUAUAUGCAGAAGUCCCUAAUGCAGUGCCUGAUGCAUGAUAAAUGCUCAAAUAUAACAGACAGAAAAUCUGUGUAUGUUGUAUAAGCCCUGCAGUGUGUGGUACUUUGCUUCAACAGCCAAAGCAAAUGAAUACAGCCUCCAUGGUAGGCAAUGGGACAAGGAUUCAGCAUUCAGGAUCCUACCUGUGUCUUCUUCAGGAGUCUCGGGUAUGUCUUUAUCAGCAGCAUGAAAAUGGACUAAUACAGUAAAUUGGUACCAGUAGAGUGGGCCAUUGCUGAAAAUAUACCUGAAGAUGUGGAAGCAACUUUGGAGCUGGGUGACAGGCAGAGGUUGGAAUAGUUUGGAGGGCUCAGAAGAAGACAGGAAAAUAUGGGAAAUUUUGGAACCUCCUAGAGACUUGUUGAAUCGCUUUGCCCAAAAUGCCGAUAGUGAUAUGAACAAUAAGGUCCAGGCUGAGGUGGUCUCAGAUGGAGAUGAGGCACUUGUUGGGAACAGGAGCAAAAGUGACUCUUGUUAUGUUUUAGCAAAGAGAUUGGCAGCAUUUUGCCCCAACCUUAGAGAUUUGUGGAACUUUGAAGAUGAGAGAGAUGAUUUAGGGUAUCUGGCAGAAAAAAUUUCUAAGCAGCAAAGCAUUCAAAAGGUGACUUGGGUGCUGUUAAAGGCAUUACAUUUUAAAAGAGAAACAGAGCAUAAAAGUUCAGAAAAUUUUCAGCCCGAUGAUGCAGUAGAAAAGAAAAAAACAUUUUUUUUAGGAAAAAUUCAAGCCAGCUGCAGAAAUUUGCAUAAGUAGCAAAGAGCCUAAUGUUAAUCCCCAAGACCAUGAGGAAAAUGUCUCCAGGCUAUGUCAGAGAUCUUCAUGGCAGCCCCUCCCAUCACAGGCCCAGAAGCCCAGGAGAAAAAAGUGAUUGUGUGGGCCGGGCCCAGGGUCCCCAUGCUAUGUGCAGCCUAGGGACUUGGUGCCCUGUGUCCCAGCCAUCCCAACUGUAGCUGAAAGGGACCAAGGUACAGCUCCGGCUGUGGCUUCAGAGGGUGGAAGCCCCAAGCCUUGGCAGCUUCCAUGUGGUGUUGAGCAUGCGGAGGCACCGAAGUCAAAAACUGAGGUUUGGGAAUUUCUGCCUAGAUUUCAGAAGAUGUAUGGAAAUGCCUGGAUGCCCAAGCAAAAGUUUGCUGCAGGGGUGGGGCGCUUGUGGAAAACCUUUGCUAGGGCAGUGCAGAUGGGAAAUGUGGGGUCGGAGCCCCCAAACAGGGUCCUUACUGUGGUACCGCCUACUGGAGCUGUGGAAAGAAAGCCACCGUUCUCCAGACCUCAGAAUGGUAGAUCCACCGACAACUUGCACCGCACCGUGCACCUGGAAAAGCCGCAGACAUGCAACACAAGCCUGUGAAAGCAGCCAGGAGGGAGGCUUUGUACCCUGCAAAGUCACAGAGGGAGAGCUGCCACGACCAUGGGAACCCACCUCUUACAUCAGCAAGACCUGAAUGUGAGAACUGGAGUCAAAGGAGAUCAUUUUGGAGCUUUAAAAUUCGACUGCACUGCUGGAUUUCAGACUUGCAUGGACCCUGUAACCCCUUUGUUUUGGCCAAUUUCUCCCAUUUGGAAUGGCUGUAUCUACCCAAUACCUGUGCCCCCAUUGUAUCUAGGAAGUAACUAACUUGCUUUUGAUUUUACAGGCUCCUAGGCAGAAGGGACUUGCCUUGUCUCAGAUGAGACUUUGGACUGUAGAUUUUUGGGUUAAUGCUGAAAUGAGUUAAGACUUUGGGGGACUGUUGGGAAGGCAUGAUUGGUUUUGAUAUGUGAGGACGUGAGAUUUGGGGGUGGCAAGGGACAAAAUGGUAUGAUUUGGUUUUGUCCCACCCCCCGCCCCCAAGAUCUCAACUUGAAUUUUAUCUCCCAGAAUUCCCACAUGUUGUGGGAGGGGCCCAGGUGGAGGUAACUGAAUCAUGAGGGCCAGUUUUUCCUGUGCUAUUCUCGUGAUAGUGACUAAGUCUCAUGAGACCUGAUGGGUUUAUCAGGGGUUUCUGCUUUUGCUUCUUCCUCAUUUUCUCUUGCUGCCACCAUGUAAGAUGUGCCUUUCACUGCCUGCCAUGAUCCUGAGGUCUCCCCAGCCACGUGGAACUGUAAGUUCAAUUAAACCUCAUUUUCUUCCCAGUCCUGGGUAUGACUUUAUCAGCAGCAUGAAAAUGGACUAAUACAGUCACCCUAUCAUGCAAACAAUUUAUUCAUCUUCCCCUGGGCUGACACUCUUUUUAAAGCCUCCCAUAUUAACUGAGGAUAGUUCUUGCCAACCCCUCUGGAAAAGAUGGCACCAUGCCAAAAUGCCUCUUUUCCAAUCUUUAUAUUUCACUUUUGAUAGAAGGCAUGGCAGAGAGUUGGGAAUGGGGUAGGAUGGGAACUUUCAAUUUACCCAACCAUGUGUGCCUUCCCUAGUGCCUUAUGUUCUUUACUUUUCUUAAAAUUAUUUGCCUUCCCAAAUAAGUCAUACCUCCAAGACAUAUUCUAUUGGCUACAUGGAAGGAAAGGAAAGAAAAUGAACAAUUUCCAAACCCAGUUGAGUGAGCACCUGGGACAAAGAACAUAGGCUCUGAAAGCAUGGGGUUGAUACUUCUGUUAGUGUAUUUGAGGGUGGGGCAAGGCCUGGAAUAAAGCUGGAAGCUGGCCUCUUGGGGAGAAAAAAAAAAAAAAACAGGGACAGCAUUCAAGGGCAAAAUGGAAAUUAAAACCAGACAGCUUGUCCAACUAAGUCAUCAACCUGCGGGACCUGGAGGAAGAGGACAUGACCAGCAAAUGGAAGCAAGAUUGGCACUAAGGAGCAAGAGGGUUCAAAGAGAAGCUUGGGAAGCAGGAUGUGGAGAAAUUCCAUGGAAAGACAGUAUGGCCACUACUGUUCUUCUGUUUGGUUUUAAAAUUUUUAUUAGGAAAAUUACAGACAUAUAUAAGAGCAGGGGGAAUAAUAUAAUAAAAUCCUAUGUAUGCAUUUUCAACUUUCAACAAUUAUUAAUCAUGAUGGCUCUUGUUUCAUUCAUAUGCCCCCAUUUCUUCAUUCCAGAUUGCUUUGAGACAUAUUCUAGAUAUAUUAUUUCAUUUAUUAUUUCAGUAUUUCUCUCUGAAAGAUAAAAGUCUCUUUAUAAAAGUGUAUUAAUAAUAUUAUUACGUCAAAAAAAUACACUAGCUGACAUGGUUUGGUUGUGUCUCCACUCAAAUCUCAUCUUGAAUUGUAGCUCUCAUAAUUCCUACAUGUCAUGGGAGGGACCCAGUGGGAGGUCAUUGAAUCAUAGGGGUGAGUUUUUCCCAUGCUGUUCUCAUGACAAUGACUAAGUUUCCUGAGAUCUGAGGGUUUUAGCAAAGUGAGUUCCCCUGCACAUACUAUCUUAUCUGCUGCCAUGUAAGACAUGACUUUUCUCCUCAUUCAACUUCAGCCAUGAUUGUGAGGCCUCCCCAGCCAUGGGGAACUGUGAGCCAAUUAAACUUCUUUCUUUUGUAAAU
This is a long non-coding RNA of Homo sapiens (human), 3865 nucleotides long. RefSeq lists it as uncharacterized. NCBI's taxonomy places the organism in Eukaryota, Metazoa, Chordata, Mammalia, Primates, Hominidae. The transcript has 5 exons. The record is from RefSeq and is a predicted model, not a curated record.